GUAGCGACUCCUACGGGAGGCAGCAGUGGGGAAUAUUGCACAAUGGGGGAAACCCUGAUGCAGCCAUGCCGCGUGUGUGAAGAAGGCCUUCGGGUUGUAAAGCACUUUCAGUAGGGAGGAAGGUAGUGUAGUUAACACCUGCAUUAUUUGACGUUACCUACAGAAGAAGCACCGGCUAACUCCGUGCCAGCAGCCGCGGUAAUACGGAGGGUGCGAGCGUUAAUCGGAAUUACUGGGCGUAAAGCGCAUGCAGGCGGCCUGUUAAGUCAGAUGUGAAAGCCCGGGGCUUAACCUCGGAAUUGCAUUUGAAACUGGCAGGCUAGAGUCUUGUAGAGGGGGUAGAAUUUCAGGUGUAGCGGUGAAAUGCGUAGAGAUCUGAAGGAAUACCAGUGGCGAAGGCGGCCCCCUGGACAAAGACUGACGCUCAGAUGCGAAAGCGUGGGGAGCAAACAGGAUUAGAUACCCUGGUAG
This 471-nucleotide ribosomal RNA is filed under the name uncultured bacterium. Its description in RNAcentral is "bacterial SSU rRNA". It matches the Rfam family "Bacterial small subunit ribosomal RNA", at positions 329 to 793 of the family's 1533-position model. The record is from RNAcentral.